Spinacia oleracea (spinach) is the source of this 1196-nucleotide long non-coding RNA. RefSeq lists it as uncharacterized. NCBI's taxonomy places the organism in Eukaryota, Viridiplantae, Streptophyta, Magnoliopsida, Caryophyllales, Amaranthaceae. The record is from RefSeq and is a predicted model, not a curated record. The transcript has 3 exons.
UAGAAUCGGAUUCUUAUGUGUAACAUCCUAACAUGCUAGUAUAUACAGUACAUGUUAGUAUAUUGGUUUUCAUCAAGCUUGCUUAUGAUGUUUUCACAUCGAUUAAUUUUAUUAAUGUGAAAAUUAAGUUACCUCGGUCAUAAAAGAUAAAAAACGCAUACCAGUCUCAUAAAUUAUUGUGAGGUGAUCUUGUAGUAGACUUAAUUGCCAUUGAUCACAGUCAAACAAUGAGAAGUUACUAGGUCAAUGAUAGUGUUUCGAUCAGUGUAUGAAAUAUCACCAUAACUUGUAUAUCCCCUUUACAAUUUGAUUUCCCAGGAGCUAUUAUCGGUGCACGAACAGUAAGUGCACCGUUUAAAAAAGGGUGGAACGCUCCUCUGAAGCCCAAGAAUAGUGAUCACUACAUAUGAAGGGAAACAUUGUCAUCAUACAAUUGGAUUUCCAAGAAGUAGUGGAUUUCUAAGCCAUGAAAGUGGUGGCUUUCUACGGCAGUUUGCUCCUCCUUUGUCAUCUCAGACAUCGUUCCACUAUCCAGGAAUGCAAAUAUUUACACAGGAAAACUCAGUUACCAGCAGAAGCAUGGCACAAGCUUCAGUUAGUAAUGCUAAUGUUGUGCAGGCGCAGGCUCAGGAUCAUCAUGUUUAUCCGGGAACUCAAUAUCAACCCAAUAAUUUCUCCUGUUAUUCCUACCCAUGUCUUGUUUUAAGUAGAGGUAUCCUGAGUAGAUAGUGGAGCAAUGGAGAAGAAAAUUCAGAAGUAGAUUACAUCAAUCUUCUUUUACCUGGGUACAGAGGUUUGGUGAAGUAUAGUCAAGUCUUCAUGCAUGGAGUAAUUUACCACUACCAAUGAUCAUAAUUCAUGAAGCUCGUUAAAGAUACUCAAAUUAGGGGACUGCUGAUAGAUUCUAAGUUAGGAGUAUUAUCCUUGUGCCUUUCCAUAUGUAAAUUUGUCAGGUUAGGCUGUUCAGUGUGAUCUGUGAUGGUAUGAAUAAACUUUAGAGUGAUGCUAUAUGUUGUUGACCCUUUUUCCCUUUGGUUAUAGUGUGGAGGAUAUACUCAUAACGUUCAUUCGAGAUAGUUUUUAUCAGUGCACUAAAAAUGAGAGAGCGAGUGAUAGUAUAUCAGAUAUAGAUCAGUGUUUUUCUUCGUUUUUUUUUUUGUUAUUUUACCCUUUUAACAUGUUGUAACAACCAAAUC